RNAcentral lists this ribosomal RNA (586 nucleotides) under uncultured bacterium. Its description in RNAcentral is "bacterial SSU rRNA". It matches the Rfam family "Bacterial small subunit ribosomal RNA", at positions 28 to 662 of the family's 1533-position model. The record is from RNAcentral.
AUUGAACGCUGGCGGCAGGCCUAACACAUGCAAGUCGAGCGCACCUUCGGGUGAGCGGCGGACGGGUUAGUAACGCGUGGGAACGUACCCUUUUCUACGGAAUAGCCUUUGGAAACGAAGAGUAAUACCGUAUACGCCCUUUGGGGGAAAGAUUUAUCGGAGAAGGAUCGGCCCGCGUUAGAUUAGAUAGUUGGUGGGGUAACGGCCUACCAAGUCUACGAUCUAUAGCUGGUUUUAGAGGAUGAUCAGCAACACUGGGACUGAGACACGGCCCAGACUCCUACGGGAGGCAGCAGUGGGGAAUCUUAGACAAUGGGCGCAAGCCUGAUCUAGCCAUGCCGCGUGAGUGAUGAAGGCCUUAGGGUCGUAAAGCUCUUUCGCCUGUGAUGAUAAUGACAGUAGCAGGUAAAGAAACCCCGGCUAACUCCGUGCCAGCAGCCGCGGUAAUACGGAGGGGGUUAGCGUUGUUCGGAAUUACUGGGCGUAAAGCGCACGUAGGCGGAUUGGAAAGUUGGGGGUGAAAUCCCGGGGCUCAACCCCGGAACUGCCUCCAAAACUAUCAGUCUAGAGUUCGAGAGAGGUGAGU